UACGAAGGGUGCAAGCGUUACUCGGAAUUACUGGGCGUAAAGCGUGCGUAGGCGGUUUGUUAAGUCUGUCGUGAAAGCCCCGGGCUCAACCUGGGAAUGGCGAUGGAUACUGGCGAGCUAGAGUACGGUAGAGGAGAGUGGAAUUCCCGGUGUAGCAGUGAAAUGCGUAGAUAUCGGGAGGAACACCUGAGGCGAAGGCGGGCUACUGGGCCGAUACUGACGCUGAUGCGCGAAAGCCAGGGGAGCGAACGGG
This 253-nucleotide ribosomal RNA is filed under the name uncultured bacterium. RNAcentral describes it as "partial 16S ribosomal RNA". It matches the Rfam family "Bacterial small subunit ribosomal RNA", at positions 524 to 776 of the family's 1533-position model. The record is from RNAcentral.